This 336-nucleotide unclassified non-coding RNA is filed under the name Hevea brasiliensis (rubber tree). The record is from RNAcentral. Lineage: Eukaryota; Viridiplantae; Streptophyta; Magnoliopsida; Malpighiales; Euphorbiaceae.
CUCCGCGGCACGCCAAAUUUGAAAGAAGCUGUUAGUUUCUCUCCCUUUUUCCCAGCAAAACUCAGAAUCGGUUUGCAAAUGUUCAAACUAUCCUUUCCAUUUCUGAACCUCUUCCUAUCCUUACUCCUAACAUCGAUACCCUUCCUUGUAAUUUCACAAAAUGUGAAUACAGAGCUUGACAUCCUCUUGAAGCUCAAGCAACAACUGGGCAAUCCACCGUCUCUACAGUCCUGGACCUCCUCAUCCUCGCCGUGCAAUUGGACGGAGAUUUACUGCACCAACGGUAAGGUUACCUCACUUUUGCUCAGCAACAAGGACAUCAAAGUAACAAUCCCG